GUGAGGAAUAUUGCGCAAUGGAGGCAACUCUGACGCAGCCAUGCCGCGUGUGUGAAGAAGGCCUUUUGGUUGUAAAGCACUUUAAGCGAGGAGGAGGCUACCGAGAUUAAUACUCUUGGAUAGUGGACGUUACUCGCAGAAUAAGCACCGGCUAACUCUGUGCCAGCAGCCGCGGUAAUACAGAGGGUGCGAGCGUUAAUCGGAUUUACUGGGCGUAAAGCGUGCGUAGGCGGCUUUUUAAGUCGGAUGUGAAAUCCCCGAGCUUAACUUGGGAAUUGCAUUCGAUACUGGGAAGCUAGAGUAUGGGAGAGGAUGGUAGAAUUCCAGGUGUAGCGGUGAAAUGCGUAGAGAUCUGGAGGAAUACCGAUGGCGAAGGCAGCCAUCUGGCCUAAUACUGACGCUGAGGUACGAAAGCAUGGGGAGCAAACAGGAUUAGAUACCCUGGUAGUCC
Molecule: ribosomal RNA, 451 nt
Filed under: uncultured bacterium
Lineage: Bacteria
Description: partial 16S ribosomal RNA
Rfam family: Bacterial small subunit ribosomal RNA
Source: RNAcentral